CGGAAUUACUGGGCGUAAAGGGCUCGUAGGUGGCCAACUAAGUCAGACGUGAAAUCCCUCGGCUUAACCGGGGAACUGCGUCUGAUACUGGAUGGCUUGAGAUUGGGAGAGGGAUGCGGAAUUCCAGGUGUAGCGGUGAAAUGCGUAGAUAUCUGGAGGAACACCGGUGGCGAAGGCGGCCAUCUGGACCGCAACUGACGCUGAGGCGCGAAAGCAUGGGGAGCGAACAGG
RNAcentral lists this ribosomal RNA (231 nucleotides) under uncultured bacterium. Its description in RNAcentral is "partial 16S ribosomal RNA". It matches the Rfam family "Bacterial small subunit ribosomal RNA", at positions 546 to 776 of the family's 1533-position model. The record is from RNAcentral.